RNAcentral lists this ribosomal RNA (328 nucleotides) under Escherichia coli. Its description in RNAcentral is "bacterial SSU rRNA". It matches the Rfam family "Bacterial small subunit ribosomal RNA", at positions 1 to 325 of the family's 1533-position model. The record is from RNAcentral. Lineage: Bacteria; Pseudomonadati; Pseudomonadota; Gammaproteobacteria; Enterobacterales; Enterobacteriaceae.
AAAUUGAAGAGUUUGAUCAUGGCUCAGAUUGAACGCUGGCGGCAGGCCUAACACAUGCAAGUCGAACGGUAACAGGAAGCAGCUUGCUGCUUCGCUGACGAGUGGCGGACGGGUGAGUAAUGUCUGGGAAACUGCCUGAUGGAGGGGGAUAACUACUGGAAACGGUAGCUAAUACCGCAUAACGUCGCAAGACCAAAGAGGGGGACCUUCGGGCCUCUUGCCAUCGGAUGUGCCCAGAUGGGAUUAGCUAGUAGGUGGGGUAACGGCUCACCUAGGCGACGAUCCCUAGCUGGUCUGAGAGGAUGACCAGCCACACUGGAACUGAGAC